UACCAGCUUCCUUUGUGAAUGAAGGAUUAGU
RNAcentral lists this non-coding RNA (31 nucleotides) under Rattus norvegicus (Norway rat). The record is from RNAcentral. Lineage: Eukaryota; Metazoa; Chordata; Mammalia; Rodentia; Muridae.